Molecule: ribosomal RNA, 2557 nt
Filed under: Acinetobacter baumannii 1032359
Lineage: Bacteria; Pseudomonadati; Pseudomonadota; Gammaproteobacteria; Moraxellales; Moraxellaceae
Description: bacterial LSU rRNA
Rfam family: Bacterial large subunit ribosomal RNA
Source: RNAcentral
AGUGCAUGUGGUGGAUGCCUUGGCAGUCAGAGGCGAUGAAAGACGUGAUAGCCUGCGAAAAGCUCCGGGGAGGCGGCAAAUAUCCUUUGAUCCGGAGAUGUCUGAAUGGGGGAACCCACCUACUUUAAGGUAGGUAUUGCAACAUGAAUACAUAGUGUUGCAAGGCGAACGAGGGGAAGUGAAACAUCUCAGUACCCUUAGGAAAAGAAAUCAAUUGAGAUUCCCUCAGUAGCGGCGAGCGAACGGGGAUCAGCCCAUUAAGUUAUGUGUGUUUUAGUGGAACGCUCUGGGAAGUGCGAACGUAGAGGGUGAUAUUCCCGUACACGAAAGGGCACACAUAAUGAUGACGAGUAGGGCGAGGCACGUGAAACCUUGUCUGAAUAUGGGGGGACCAUCCUCCAAGGCUAAAUACUCCUGACUGACCGAUAGUGAACCAGUACCGUGAGGGAAAGGCGAAAAGAACCCCUGUGAGGGGAGUGAAAUAGAUCCUGAAACCGCAUGCAUACAAGCAGUGGGAGCACCUUCGUGGUGUGACUGCGUACCUUUUGUAUAAUGGGUCAGCGACUUAUAUUCAGUAGCGAGGUUAACCGUAUAGGGGAGCCGUAGAGAAAUCGAGUCUUAAUAGGGCGUUUAGUUGCUGGGUAUAGACCCGAAACCAGGCGAUCUAUCCAUGAGCAGGUUGAAGGUUGGGUAACACUAACUGGAGGACCGAACCCACUGUCGUUGAAAAGCCAGGGGAUGACUUGUGGAUAGGGGUGAAAGGCUAAUCAAGCCUGGUGAUAGCUGGUUCUCCCCGAAAGCUAUUUAGGUAGCGCCUCGGACGAAUACCAUAGGGGGUAGAGCACUGUUUCGGCUAGGGGGUCAUCCCGACUUACCAAACCGAUGCAAACUCCGAAUACCUAUGAGUACUAUCCGGGAGACAGACUGCGGGUGCUAACGUCCGUAGUCAAGAGGAAAACAAUCCAGACCGCCAGCUAAGGCCCCAAAAUCAUAGUUAAGUGGGAAACGAUGUGGGAAGGCAUAGACAGCUAGGAGGUUGGCUUAGAAGCAGCCACCCUUUAAAGAAAGCGUAAUAGCUCACUAGUCGAGUCGGCCUGCGCGGAAGAUGUAACGGGGCUAAAACUAUGUGCCGAAGCUGCGGAUGUAUACUUUGUAUACGUGGUAGGGGAGCGUUCUGUAAGCCGAUGAAGGUGUGUUGAGAAGCAUGCUGGAGGUAUCAGAAGUGCGAAUGCUGACGUGAGUAACGACAAAACGGGUGAAAAACCCGUUCGCCGAAAGACCAAGGGUUCCAGUCCAACGUUAAUCGGGGCUGGGUGAGUCGACCCCUAAGGCGAGGCCGAAAGGCGUAGUCGAUGGGAAAAUGGUUAAUAUUCCAUUACUUCUGUGUAAUGCGAUGAGAGGACGGAGAAGGCUAAAUCAGCCUGGCGUUGGUUGUCCAGGUGAAAGGAUGUAGGCAUGUAUCUUAGGCAAAUCCGGGGUACUCUAUGCUGAGAUCUGAUAGCAAGCUGUACUUGUACAGCGAAGUGGUUGAUGCCAUGCUUCCAGGAAAAGUCUCUAAGCUUCAGUUACACAGGAAUCGUACCCGAAACCGACACAGGUGGUCAGGUCGAGUAGACCAAGGCGCUUGAGAGAACUCUGCUGAAGGAACUAGGCAAAAUGGUACCGUAACUUCGGGAGAAGGUACGCUGUUGUUGGUGAUGGAACUCGCUUCCUGAGCUGACGACAGCCGCAGAAACCAGGCCGCUGCAACUGUUUAUUAAAAACAUAGCACUCUGCAAACACGAAAGUGGACGUAUAGGGUGUGAUGCCUGCCCGGUGCUGGAAGGUUAAUUGAUGGGGUUAGCGUAAGCGAAGCUCUUGAUCGAAGCCCCAGUAAACGGCGGCCGUAACUAUAACGGUCCUAAGGUAGCGAAAUUCCUUGUCGGGUAAGUUCCGACCUGCACGAAUGGCAUAAUGAUGGCGGCGCUGUCUCCAGCAGAGGCUCAGUGAAAUCGAAAUCGCUGUGAAGAUGCAGUGUACCCGCGGCUAGACGGAAAGACCCCGUGAACCUUUACUGCAGCUUGACACUGAACUUUGACCUUACUUGUGUAGGAUAGGUGGGAGGCUUUGAAGCUGGAACGCUAGUUCCAGUGGAGCCGUCCUUGAAAUACCACCCUGGUAAUGUUGAGGUUCUAACUCUGUCCCGUGAUCCGGGACGAGGACCGUGUCUGGUGGGUAGUUUGACUGGGGCGGUCUCCUCCUAAAGAGUAACGGAGGAGUACGAAGGUGCGCUCAGCGUGGUCGGAAAUCACGCGUAGAGUAUAAAGGCAAAAGCGCGCUUAACUGCGAGACCCACAAGUCGAGCAGGUACGAAAGUAGGUCUUAGUGAUCCGGUGGUUCUGUAUGGAAGGGCCAUCGCUCAACGGAUAAAAGGUACUCUGGGGAUAACAGGCUGAUACCGCCCAAGAGUUCAUAUCGACGGCGGUGUUUGGCACCUCGAUGUCGGCUCAUCUCAUCCUGGGGCUGAAGCAGGUCCCAAGGGUAUGGCUGUUCGCCAUUUAAAGAGGUACGCGAGCUG